RNAcentral lists this transfer RNA (71 nucleotides) under Xenomystus nigri (African knifefish). RNAcentral describes it as "tRNA-Ser (UCN)". It matches the Rfam family "tRNA". From Rfam's summary of the family: Transfer RNA (tRNA) molecules are approximately 80 nucleotides in length. Their secondary structure includes four short double-helical elements and three loops (D, anti-codon, and T loops). Lineage: Eukaryota; Metazoa; Chordata; Actinopteri; Osteoglossiformes; Notopteridae. The record is from RNAcentral.
AAGAAAGUGGCAGAGUGGUUCUGUGGCUGGCUUGAAACCAGUAUACGGGGGUUCGAUUCCCUCCUUUCUUG